Molecule: ribosomal RNA, 425 nt
Filed under: uncultured bacterium
Lineage: Bacteria
Description: partial 16S ribosomal RNA
Rfam family: Bacterial small subunit ribosomal RNA
Source: RNAcentral
GUUAGGAAUAUUGGACAAUGGGCGCAAGCCUGAUCCAGCCAUGCCGCGUGAGUGAUGAAGGCCUUCGGGUUGUAAAGCUCUUUAGCCGAUGAUUAUAAUGACUGUAGUCGGAAAAUAAGCCCCGGCUAACUUCGUGCCAGCAGCCGCGGUAAUACGAAGGGGGCGAGCGUUAUUCGGAAUCACUGGGCGUAAAGCGUGCGUAGGCGGCUUUGCAAGUUGGGAGUGAAAGCCCAGGGCUAAACCCUGGAAUUGCUCUCAAAACUGCAAGGCUCGAAUUCGGGAGAGGAUAGCGGAAUUGUCAGUGUAGCAGUGAAAUGCGUAGAUAUUGACAGGAACACCAGUGGCGUAAGCGGCUAUCUGGACCGAUAUUGACGCUGAGGCACGAAAGCGUGGGGAUCAAACAGGAUUAGAAACCCGUGUAGUCC